AAUCUCCCCGCCCCUCGUGGUGCUCGUCUCUGACGGGUUAAACGGGAAGCCGGUGCGUCCCCGCGACCAUUCCGGCACUGCCCCCGCAACGGUGAUCACGUCGUGAUGCCGACUGACAGCCACUGGGCCUCGGCCCGGGAAGGCGUCGGCAUCCGCCGGCCUCGUGCCGGCAACGUGUCAGUCCGGAUACCGGCCACGAGAUCGUCCCCCCA
This 212-nucleotide non-coding RNA is filed under the name endosymbiont of unidentified scaly snail isolate Monju. Lineage: Bacteria; Pseudomonadati; Pseudomonadota; Gammaproteobacteria. RNAcentral also lists the same sequence under 1 other name. The record is from RNAcentral.